CUUAACGCUUCCCUUCAGGAUGGGGCCACGCAUAAUCCAGAGUGCAGUGCAUCAGCCUAUAGAGGGCGCUCUUAAGUAUCAUAGCCAGAUGUGUUUGCUUAAAGAGGAAACAUCUUUAAGAAGUGAAAGCUGAAGAAUGGGGCCUAAGAUCAAACUUCAAGGUGUUGGUGGCCUAAACGCCUGCCAUCAAAGUAACACAACAGAAUGAUAACUUGAACCAUAUCUGGUGUGACAACAAUUUGAAAAGCGCCACCCAUCCUCUCUGAGACCACAAACAGCGCUGAAGGCAGUGAACCAAGACUUACAAACAAGGGUGUAGACCAAGGAAAAUGCUGGGGGCCAGAGGAGGAGAAAGCAAGAAGAUAGAAACACCAUAGUUUCAAGAGGGAGGGGAGCAGAAAGCCGCCAGCUCUCCAAAAAACAAGAAGCAAAACCCAGAACUCAAACCUCAUGAAAGUAUCACGAGGUUGAAGCCUUUAAAAGGUGUUUUUACAGCAGAUUUUAGAGACUUCUCACCUUACCAACGGUUAUAAACCCGUAUCCUUGCAAAUUCAGCAGUAGAGUCAUUAGAUUGCCCUCUCAGCCUCUGCACGUGAAGGGUCUCAGGGCUUUUCAGGACAUCUUUAGGGUCAGGUUUCGUGAAAUAGGUAGGUUGGGCCAGCUUUCUGGGGACUCUAAGCAACCUUGGAGAAAAUGGGCAGGAGUAAAUAAAGGUAUGCCAGCUUGCUUUUUCCAGUGGGGACUUGGCAAAUGCCAAAAACAGUAUAAAUAUUAUAUUCCCAUCUUCUAAUAUCAUGGAAACCCAUGGUGGCAAUGGGGCGCAGGGCUCACUAGCCACCCUGAGGUGAAGAAGUGGCCCCUCAGAGAUCUGAAGCUGGUUAGCAAGAGUUCACCAGGGCCUAGCUCCUUGUCCCUCAGGGAAAGCCCCUGGGUGCUAUAGCCCACCACCUGGAAGGGGCAGCCCCUGGAGAAAUGUUAGAAUUCUGGGUGAAUUAUUUUCUUAUGAAAUUUCAUCCAAAGUUUUAACAAAGUACCAAAUAGGAGAGUUGUUAAGUAUUGUGAGUGAGUGAGGUGGAGGAAGCAGAGCGGGGAAGGGGUGGCUCCACUCUCUCACUAUAUUCACUGCUCAUCCUAGAGAUGACCUAGUGUCAAAAACGUUGCAAAUGCAACCAGCUGCCUGUUGCAUCCAUGUAGUUCAGUUGUUGCUAUUUACAGGGUAGUAUAAAUGCCCGGUGCUGCUAUGAACCAAGGUGCUGAGUAUCAAAUGUUCCUGGAAGAGCACCUAGUAGUGUUUCAUUGGAUGGUUUCUAGUAAAAACUUUAUGCAAAAGUAAUAUGGUAUUGCUGAUUAUAGGUAUUAUCUGAUAAUAAUAAUCCUGUCAAGUACUUGCUUGGGCCAGAUCACUCUGUGAAGGCAGAAAGUUGGCAAUGCUUGUCUUAAAUGCAAGAUUCUUUCUCUUUUCUUCCUCCCUCCCUCCCUCCUAUUCAACCAUCCUUUAUUCACCCUUGGAAAAAUUUGGGCUCUGCAUUCACUCUUGCACAAUCCUGUAAUCUCAUGGUUUACUUUAUGAUGACAAUAUUAAUGACAAUAAAGGCACAUUUUCCCUAAGA
Molecule: long non-coding RNA, 1610 nt
Organism: Homo sapiens (human)
Lineage: Eukaryota; Metazoa; Chordata; Mammalia; Primates; Hominidae
Exons: 3
Source: RefSeq, a predicted model, not a curated record